This 253-nucleotide ribosomal RNA is filed under the name uncultured bacterium. RNAcentral describes it as "partial 16S ribosomal RNA". It matches the Rfam family "Bacterial small subunit ribosomal RNA", at positions 524 to 776 of the family's 1533-position model. The record is from RNAcentral.
UACGUAGGGUGCAGGCGUUAAUCGGAAUUACUGGGCGUAAAGCGUGCGCAGGCGGUUUGCUAAGACAGGUGGGAAAUCCCCGGGCUUAACCUGGGAACUGCGCUUGUAACUGGCAAGCUAGAGUGUGGCAGAGGGGGGUGGAAUUCCAGGUGUAGCAGUGAAAUGCGUAGAGAUCUGGAGGAACACCGAUGGCGAAGGCAGCCCCCUGGGCUAACACUGACGCUCAUGCACGAAAGCGUGGGGAGCAAACAGG